AUUGAACGCUGGCGGCAUGCUUUACACAUGCAAGUCGAACGGCAGCGCGGGCUUCGGGCUGGCUGCGAGUGGCGCACGGGUGAGUAAUACAUCGGAACGUGCCCAGCUGUGGUUGAUAGCACGGCGAAAGCCGGAUUAAUACUGCAUACGACCAGAGGGUGAAACAGGGGGAUCUUCGGACCUUUCGCUCUUGGAGCGGCCGAUGGCCGAUUAGCUAGUUGGUGGGGUAAAGGCCUACCAAGGCGACGAUCUGUAGCUGGUCUGAGAGGGCGACCAGCCACACUGGAAGUGAGACACGGCCCAGACUACUACGGGAGGCAGCAGUGGGGAAUUUUGGACAGUGGGCGGAAGCCUUGUCCAGCAAUGCCGCGUCUGUGAUGAAGGCCUUCGGGUUGUGAAGCACUUUUGGCGGGAAUGAAAAGCAUUGUGCUAAUACGACGCUUCGGUGACGGUACCCGCAGAAUAAGCACCGGCUAACUACGUG
Molecule: ribosomal RNA, 484 nt
Filed under: uncultured bacterium
Lineage: Bacteria
Description: partial 16S ribosomal RNA
Rfam family: Bacterial small subunit ribosomal RNA
Source: RNAcentral